This 482-nucleotide ribosomal RNA is filed under the name uncultured bacterium. RNAcentral describes it as "partial 16S ribosomal RNA". It matches the Rfam family "Bacterial small subunit ribosomal RNA", at positions 30 to 507 of the family's 1533-position model. The record is from RNAcentral.
AUUGAACGCUGGCGGCAUGCCUUACACAUGCAAGUCGAACGGUAACGGGCCUUCGGGUGCCGACGAGUGGCGAACGGGUGAGUAAUACAUCGGAACGUGCCCGAUCGUGGGGGAUAACGAGGCGAAAGCUUUGCUAAUACCGCAUACGAUCUACGGAUGAAAGCAGGGGACCGCAAGGCCUGGCGCGGGCGGAGCGGCCGAUGGCAGAUUAGGUAGUUGGUGGGAUAAAAGCUUACCAAGCCGACGAUCUGUAGCUGGUCUGAGAGGAUGAUCAGCCACACUGGGACUGAGACACGGCCCAGACUCCUACGGGAGGCAGCAGUGGGGAAUUUUGGACAAUGGGCGCAAGCCUGAUCCAGCCAUGCCGCGUGCAGGAUGAAGGCCUUCGGGUUGUAAACUGCUUUUGUACGGAACGAAAAGCCUUCUUUUAAUACAGGAGGGUCAUGACGGUACCGUAAGAAUAAGCACCGGCUAACUACGUG